AGGAAAACGCAAGGGUGAAGAGUUCAGGUGAUGGUUUCAGUGGCAUGGUUGGUUUGCUGUGGACGUAGUUUGUCACCAGAGAGAGUUUUCUUCUUUGAAGCCUGGGUCCAGUUUGUGUUUGUUUAUCCUUGUAUUUGAAAGCUGUACACUCUCAGAGUCCCUACUGUUGGUCGUUGGAGCCUUUUCUUUUCUUUUAGUUUCUUUCUUUUCAUAUCAGUUUGGAUAGUAAUUGCUUUCACUGUCUGCUUUGAAGGGCAAUGUUUAUUAUUGCACUU
This 275-nucleotide unclassified non-coding RNA is filed under the name Hevea brasiliensis (rubber tree). Lineage: Eukaryota; Viridiplantae; Streptophyta; Magnoliopsida; Malpighiales; Euphorbiaceae. The record is from RNAcentral.